GGGGGUAUAACUCAGGGGUAGAGUUCAUGCUUAACAUGCAUGAGGUCCUGGGUUCAAUUCUCAGUACCUCCA
This 72-nucleotide transfer RNA is filed under the name Camelus bactrianus (Bactrian camel). It matches the Rfam family "tRNA". Rfam says of the family: Transfer RNA (tRNA) molecules are approximately 80 nucleotides in length. The record is from Rfam by way of RNAcentral. RNAcentral also lists the same sequence under 2 other names. Lineage: Eukaryota; Metazoa; Chordata; Mammalia; Artiodactyla; Camelidae.